This 439-nucleotide ribosomal RNA is filed under the name uncultured bacterium. Its description in RNAcentral is "bacterial SSU rRNA". It matches the Rfam family "Bacterial small subunit ribosomal RNA", at positions 959 to 1397 of the family's 1533-position model. The record is from RNAcentral.
ACGCGAGGAACCUUACCAGGUCUUGACAUCCCAUUGACCGCUAUGGAGACAUAGCUUUCCCUUCGGGGACAGUGGUGACAGGUGGUGCAUGGUUGUCGUCAGCUCGUGUCGUGAGAUGUUGGGUUAAGUCCCGCAACGAGCGCAACCCUUGUUCUUAGUUGCCAUCAUUUAGUUGGGCACUCUAAGGUGACUGCCGGUGACAAACCGGAGGAAGGUGGGGAUGACGUCAAAUCAUCAUGCCCCUUAUGACCUGGGCUACACACGUGCUACAAUGGAUGGUACAAAGGGCAGCAAAGCGGUGACGCCUAGCAAAUCCCAUAAAACCAUUCUCAGUUCGGAUUGUAGGCUGCAACUCGCCUACAUGAAGCUGGAAUCGCUAGUAAUCGCGGAUCAGCAUGCCGCGGUGAAUACGUUCCCGGGCCUUGCACACACCGCCCGU